GAUGAACGCUGGCGGCGUGCCUAAUACAUGCAAGUCGAGCGAACGGACGAGAAGCUUGCUUCUCUGAUGUUAGCGGCGGACGGGUGAGUAACACGUGGAUAACCUACCUAUAAGACUGGGAUAACUUCGGGAAACCGGAGCUAAUACCGGAUAAUAUUUUGAACCGCAUGGUUCAAAAGUGAAAGACGGUCUUGCUGUCACUUAUAGAUGGAUCCGCGCUGCAUCAGCUAGUUGGUAAGGUAACGGCUUACCAAGGCAACGAUGCAUAGCCGACCUGAGAGGGUGAUCGGCCACACUGGAACUGAGACACGGUCCAGACUCCUACGGGAGGCAGCAGUAGGGAAUCUUCCGCAAUGGGCGAAAGCCUGACGGAGCAACGCCGCGUGAGUGAUGAAGGUCUUCGGAUCGUAAAACUCUGUUAUUAGGGAAGAACAUAUGUGUAAGUAACUGUGCACAUCUUGGCGGUACCUAAUCAGAAAGCUACGGCUAACUACGUG
This 497-nucleotide ribosomal RNA is filed under the name uncultured bacterium. RNAcentral describes it as "partial 16S ribosomal RNA". It matches the Rfam family "Bacterial small subunit ribosomal RNA", at positions 28 to 507 of the family's 1533-position model. The record is from RNAcentral.